UCUCUCUCUCUCUCUCUCUCUCUGGCUCUCUCUCUCGCUCUCUCUGUCUCUCUCUUUCUCUGUCUCUCUCUCUCUUUCUCUCUCUCGCUCUCUCUCUGUCUCUCUCUUUCUCUCUCUCUCUCUCUCUCUGUCUCUCUCUCUCUGUCUCUCUCUGUCUCUCUCUCUUUCUCUGUCUUGCUCUCUCUCUGUCUCUGUCUCUGUCUCUCUCUCUGUCUCUCUCUGUCUCUCUCUCUCUCUCUCUCUCUCUCUCUCUCUCUCUCUCAGUUCUCGAUGCUGGUUUGGAACUAAACCGUUGUAAAAAAAAGCGCCACGUUUCUCUCGAGCUCGACUGAACUUGGACGAGGCACUUAUCCAAAAGGUCACGUUAAUGACAGCUCAUCAAACGAAGCGUUUAGGAGCGUGCCGGCUGUUCCUGGAUCCGUUAAAGCUUUUUUUUUUUUUUUUUUGGAUAACAAUCUGCCCACAGAUCAGCAAUCCUGAUUCCGUCGUGUGAAUGAAAGGCCAUAUGUGCAGUCUGGAGAAGUGUUUAAAGGAAAUUAAAGAUCCGGGAAAGAACGGAGACGAUGAUGAACCUCAGGGUCUCGGCUAUGUCUCACUUCACUGAGUAAUUAUUAAAACAUGCUGCUUACACACACGGCGUGACCGGAGCGUGCUCGCGUGUCUGUGUGUGUGUGUGUGUGUGUGUGUGUAUGUCUGAGUGUGUGUCUGAGUGUGUCAUGACUGAUUCAGAAGUGGCUUUCAGAAGUUUAGUUUUGUUUUAAUCAUCAUUGCUUAUCCCAGGAGGGGUUUGGGGUUGAAACGAUUGAAAUGAUUUUGUGUGUGUUGGUGAAGGGCAGGGUCACCGGCCAGGCAGCUGUCCCAUGAGGAUGGGGACACCUAUCAGGUAGCUCAUCAGGGCGUGGCCCAAUCAGUCCAUCAGGGCAUGGCUACAUCUUAAUCAGUCCUUCAGGGCGGGGCUACAGCUUAAUCAGUCCAUCAGGGCGGGGCUACAGCUUAAUCAGUCCAUCAGACUGUGACCACAGAUUAAUCAGUCCAUCAGGGCGUGGCUAAAGAUGAAUCAGUCUGUCAGGGUGUGGCUACAGCUUAAUCAGUCUAUUGGGGCGUGGCUACAGAUUAAUCAGUCUAUCAGGGUGUGACUACAGCUUAAUCAGUCUAUCAGGGCGUGGCUACAGAUUAAUCAUAAACCAUAAUGAACUUUCUUUCACUCUCACACUAUCCGUCGUUACCCAGACGAAGACGGGUUUCCUCCUGAGUCCGGUUCCUCUCAAGGUUUCUUCCUCAUAUCAUCUCAGGGAGUUUUUCCUCACCACCGUCACCACCGUCUCGCUCAAUAGGGAUAAACUCCAUCCAUCCAUCCAUCCAUCCACACUUACAAUCUCUAUCCUGUGUUUAUAUAUUUCUGUAAAGCUGCUUUAAGACAACGUCCUUUGUAAAAAGCACUACACAAAUAAAACUGAAUUGAAUUGAAUCAGAAUCUGUAGUGUACUAAUUAAAUAUUUGAAUAAAUAUUAAUUAUGUAUCACUUUGGUUAUUAUAAGAACCUAAAGGGGAUAGGUGUUAGAUAUAGAUGUUUACCGAAGUAGAAAUAAUUGACAUGCUAAUUUAUACGUUAACUGAUAAUCCAGAUGAUAGCUCCCAGUUCAUUUAUAUGAUCGUUUCCUUUACAUUGUAGAUCUUGGAUUUAGUUUUAAUCGUGAUUUAAAGUCCCGCCGUUAAUCUCGUUAUGAUUCGGGUUUAUGCUCGAAAUCAUUUUAUCGUGUCAAACAGAGAUCUCAUGGCUGUAGCAGACGUGUGCCAUAUAUCUUCCAGUAGGAGGUCUGCGGUAGUUCAUUCCAUUUGGAAACCCCGUCUCUCUGCUAUUAAACUGAUUCUGGGACCUUCUGUGGAAAGCGUGGUGGAGCUUCUGGAUCUUUUCCAGCUCGUAAAACUGGAGAAAGUGUGGAGCAGUGACUUUUAAGGCAGGUGAUUCAGUCGUUGUCCCAUGCUGUGGAGAGAGAUUUCCUCCAGCUCGUAAAAAGAGAGUGAUGAAAGGAAGGAGAGGUGCGGUGAGGAAAGGUGACGAGGUGUCAGGUGGGCCAGCACCUGCAGGGAAAACUUAGGAAAGUUCAAUUCAGUAGUUAGGAACGUUCGAAAUUGUCAUAAUAUUUCCAAAAAGUGGUUGAUUACCCUAAUGUGUUCACCUGUUCUGUGUUAAGCCUUUCAUUAGAUCAUCCAAAUCCAUCGUUCCCUUCCUGUUCUUUGACCUACACGAUGGACUACAAUGUUGAUUUGUGGACUCGCCCAAACACGCACUCGCGUCCUGCCUCUACCCGCACGAUACAGGAAUGCGUCAAUUUUCUAUCGUAUUAAAUUUAAUUGUGCUGUGAGUGUUUAAUUACAGUCCCCUGUGGGCGUGACAGCAGUAAAAGUUAAUGUCGUGCUUCUUGAGAGUACACUGUACAUGUUUUUGCUUCUGCUUCUCGUUGGGGCUUUUUCUUUUGUCUUUCCUUUUUUUUGUCCGCUGGUUACUGGUCAUGACGGUGAGCGUGAGCGGCAGAUUUCCCCGGGUGUAAUUCGUGUAUGCCUGGAUCGAGUGCAGCAGCUGAUCUAUUCUGUUGUACUGUUACUUGCAUCAAUGGCAGGGAUUUUGGUGCUAUGGUUCUGAGCCGUCUCGUGGCUCGGCCCUCUGCUCAUCUGUCCGUGCUUGCUUUGUGAAGCUCUUGUGGAUUCUGGGGAUAAAUGGAUCAUUCCAUGGAUCAGAGCGGUGGUUCCCGGUGGUGCCUGGUGAUGUCCAGUGGUGCCCAUUAGUGUGCAGUGAUGCCCAGUGUUGCCUGUUGGUGCCCAGUGUUGCUGUUGGUGUCCAGUGAUGCCUGCUUGUGUCCAGUGGUGCCCAGUGUUGCCUCUUGGUGUCCAAUGAUGCCUGUUGGUGUCCAGUGAUGCCCAGUGUUGCCUGUUGGUGUCCAGUGUUGCCUGCUGGUGUCCAGUGUUGUCUGUUGGUGUCCAGUGGUGUCCAGUGUUGCCUGCUGGUGUCCAGUGAUGCCUGCUGGUGUCCAGUGAUGCCUGCUGGUGUCCAGUGUUGUCUGUUGGUGUCCAGUGUUGUCUGUUGGAGUCCAGUGUUACCUGUUGGUGUCCAGUGGUGUCUGUUGGUGUCCAGUGGUGCCCAGUGGUGCCUGUUGGUGUCCAGUGUUGUCUGUUGGUGUCCAGUGAUGUGCAGUGUUGCCUGUUGGUGUCCAGUGUUGUCUGUUGGUGUCCAGUGGUGCCCAGUGGUGCCUGUUGGUGUCCAGUGUUGUCUGUUGGUGUCCAGUGGUGCCCAGUGUUGCCUGUUGGUGUCCAGUGAUGUGCGGUGUUGCCUGUUGGUGUCCAGUGUUGUCUGUUGGUGUCCAGUGAUGUGCAGUGUUGCCUGUUGGUGUCCAGUGUUGUUUGUUGGUGUCUAGUGAUGCCCAGUGUUGCCUGUUGGUGUCCAUUAUUGCCUGUUGGUUUCUAAUGAUGCCCAGUGGUGCCCAGUGUUGUCUGUUGGUGUCCAGUGAUGCCUGGUGGUGUCCAGUGAAAUUAUUGCACAUGUACUGUAUUUUAUUGAUACAAAUGCAAACGUAAGCCAUAAAGGAAAGCUGUACCAUUUGAUUUGUUUAAUUCUAUAUCUAAUUGUUGAGCUGAAGGUUUUUCUGUGGUUGUUAUUCUGAGAGGGAUUUCAUUGUAACUAAUAUGAAUGCUGGCACACACACUUCACUUACUGUACACUGUAAUAUAGAUUAUGUGUGUGUGUGUGUGUGUGUGUGUGUGUGUGUGUGUGUGUGCGUGCGGUGAGGUCUGGCUUUACAUUUCCAGCUGAAUCAUAGCGUUUACUGCUCCUGAGGUUUGGUUUGCCCCGUGUGGUAAAAGCAAAGUUCAGCCUUCAAACGCUUUAGUGGAAAUUCUUGGCAUGUUUUGAAGCCUGGAGAGAGAGAGAGAGAGAGAGAGAGAGAGGAGAGAGAGAGAGAGAGGAGAGAAAACAACAUCUGAUUUUUAUCUUAAUGACGGUCCAAAAAACUCCAUGUGAGCGUUUAUCCAGACCCGGUCGUGGAGAAGCAGAGAAGGUAAAACAUUCCUCAGAUUCCUCGGUGUGGAGAUCCAGUCUCUGUCGGCGCUUUACAUCUCACCUCACUGCGGUUAAUUAUAUUUCUGUUGUUGAUUAGAGUUUUAUAAGAUUAUAUUCAGCAUACAAGGAUCAUCAGAGGCCUUGUUUUUCACCGGGUUUUCCAUUGUACAUUCCCACCUCGAGAGUGUUCCUGCUAUCUCUAAUGUUAAAUAAACAUGGGAGCACAAGACUUCUAUGCUUCUGCUUUUAUAUAUAUAUAAAACUUUGUUUUUUAAAGCUAAAACUUUAUGUUUUGCUUGUAAAUACAACUACAGAAUGCCAUUUUGGGCCAAACUUAAACACAAAUAAAGCACUUGUAAUUCGCGGUGCGAGAGUCAAAUAUGCAGAUGACGUCAGACGAUCAGUUA
Long non-coding RNA from Ictalurus punctatus (channel catfish), 4461 nucleotides. The record is from Ensembl. Lineage: Eukaryota; Metazoa; Chordata; Actinopteri; Siluriformes; Ictaluridae.